Molecule: long non-coding RNA, 262 nt
Filed under: Prunus persica (peach)
Lineage: Eukaryota; Viridiplantae; Streptophyta; Magnoliopsida; Rosales; Rosaceae
Description: long non-coding RNA (PPER_LNC008517)
Source: RNAcentral
AAAAUAAAAGGUCUAUGGACUUUAAAGUUUGGCUAUUUAUUUGGGUUAAAGUUUUCAAAUAAAUUAAUCAAUUAAUUAAUACAAUUGGUUUGGUUUAGUUUGGUUCGGUUCGAUUUUUUGAGACAUGGAACUGUAAUCAGAUUCGGUCUGUUUCGGUUUUUUCAAUUGAUUUUGACUUUUUAAUAAAAUUGGUUUUUUCUAGCUUUUUCCGGUCCAAUAUGGUUCAGUUGAACGAUUCUUCAGUUCCAAUGCCCACCCCUAG